This 64-nucleotide transfer RNA is filed under the name Piresia sp. 'morpho A' ILCO-2017. RNAcentral's name for it is "partial tRNA-Ser". Lineage: Eukaryota; Viridiplantae; Streptophyta; Magnoliopsida; Poales; Poaceae. The record is from RNAcentral.
CCCUCGUAGUCCUAGACUAUACCGGUUUCAAGACCGGAGCUAUCAACCACUCAGCCAUCUCUCC